Molecule: ribosomal RNA, 822 nt
Filed under: uncultured bacterium
Lineage: Bacteria
Description: bacterial SSU rRNA
Rfam family: Bacterial small subunit ribosomal RNA
Source: RNAcentral
GGACGAACGCUGGCGGCGUGCCUAAAACAUGCAAGUCGAACGGUGUAGCAAUACACAGUGGCGAACGGCGGAGUAAUACAUGAACAACGUGCCCGGAAGACUGGGAUAGUCAGGGGAAACCCUGGGUAAUACCAGAUGUGGCCGUCUCUUGGCAUCUAGAGACGAUUAAAGGGUUUUUCGCUUCCGGAGCGGUUCAUGGCCUAUCAGGUAGUUGGUGAGGUAACGGCUCACCAAGCCGACGACGGGUAGCGGGUCUGAGAGGAUGAUCCGCUCGAGUGGGACUGAGACACGGCCCACACACCUACGGGUGGCAGCAGUUGGGAAUCUUGCACAAUGGGGGAAACCCUGAUGCAGCGACGCCGCGUGGAGGAUGAAGGAUCUAGGUCUGUAAACUCCUUUUUCAGGGAAAGACUUAAGGACGGUACCCUGAGAAUAAGGACCGGCUAACUACGUGCCAGCAGCCGCGGUAAGACGUAGGGUCCAAGCGUUGUCCGGAUUUACUGGGCGUAAAGAGCGCGUAGGCGGCUUGUUAAGUGUGGUGUGAAAUCUCCAGGGACUCAACCCGGAAACUGCACCGCAUACUGGCUAGCUUGAGUGAUGCAGAGGUUUGUGGAAUUCCUGGUGUAACGGUGAAAUGUGUUGAUAUUAGGAGGAACACCCAUGGCGAAGGCAGCAAACUGGGCAUCAACUGACGCUGAGGCGCGAAAGCGUGGGUAGCAAACAGGAUUAGAUACCCUGGUAGUCCACGCCCUAAACGAUGGAUACUAGGCGUAAGAGGUAUCGACCCCUCUUGUGCCGCAGCUAACGCAUUAAGUAUCCCGC